AUUGAACGCUGGCGGCAGGCCUAACACAUGCAAGUCGAACGAGUGGCGGACGGGUGAGUAAUGUCUGGGAAACUGCCCGAUGUAGGGGGAUAACUCCUGGAAACGGUGGCUAAUACCGCAUACCAUCGGAUGUGCCCAGAUGGGAUUAGCUAGUAGGUGGGGGACCGGCUCACCUAGGCGACGAUCCCUAGCUGGUCUGAGAGGGUGACCAGCCACACUGGGACUGAGACACGGUCCAGACGCCUACGGGAGGCAGCAGUGGGGAAUAUUGCGCAAUGGGCGCAAGCCUGACGCAGCCAUGCCGCGUGUAUGAAGAAGGCCUUCGGGUUGUAAAGUACUUUUGGGAGGGAGGCGGUACCCGCAGAAGAAGCAACGGCUAACUCCGUGCCAGCAGCCGCGGUAAUAC
This 406-nucleotide ribosomal RNA is filed under the name uncultured bacterium. RNAcentral's name for it is "partial 16S ribosomal RNA". It matches the Rfam family "Bacterial small subunit ribosomal RNA", at positions 29 to 526 of the family's 1533-position model. The record is from RNAcentral.